RNAcentral lists this ribosomal RNA (301 nucleotides) under uncultured bacterium. Its description in RNAcentral is "partial 16S ribosomal RNA". It matches the Rfam family "Bacterial small subunit ribosomal RNA", at positions 509 to 808 of the family's 1533-position model. The record is from RNAcentral.
CAGCCGCCGCGGUAAUACGUAGGGUGCAAGCGUUAAUCGGAAUUACUGGGCGUAAAGCGUGCGCAGGCGGUUUGUUAAGACAGAUGUGAAAUCCCCGGGCUCAACCUGGGAACUGCAUUUGUGACUGGCAGGCUAGAGUAUGGCAGAGGGGGGUGGAAUUCCGCGUGUAGCAGUGAAAUGCGUAGAUAUAGGAAGGAACACCAGUGGCGAAGGCGACCACCUGGGCUCAUACUGACACUGAGGUGCGAAAGCGUGGGGAGCAAACAGGAUUAGAUACCCCGGUAGUCCCUGUCUCUUAACA